CCUGUGUAAAAAACCGUACCGCAAACCGACACAGGUAGGCAGGGUGAGAAUCCCAAGGCGCUUGAGAGAACUCGGGUGAAGGAACUAGGCAAAAUGGCACCGUAACUUCGGGAGAAGGUGCGCCUCUUGGUGUGGUCACGUGCGUGACUGAGCAUCGAGGGGUCGCAGUAACCUGGCCGCUGCGACUGUUUAUCAAAAACACAGCACUCUGCAAACACGAAAGUGGACGUAUAGGGUGUGACGCCUGCCCGGUGCUGGAAGGUUAAUUGAUGGGGUCAGCCGCAAGGCGAAGCUCUUGAUCGAAGCCCCAGUAAACGGCGGCCGUAACUAUAACGGUCCUAAGGUAGCGAAAUUCCUUGUCGGGUAAGUUCCGACCUGCACGAAUGGCGUAACGACAGCGGCGCUGUCUCCACCCGAGACUCAGUGAAAUUGAAAUCGCUGUGAAGAUGCAGCGUUCCCGCGGCAAGACGGAAAGACCCCGUGAACCUUUACUAUAGCUUUACACUGAACGUUGAGUUCUUCUGUGUAGGAUAGGUGGGAGGCUAUGAAACCAGGACGCUAGUUCUGGUGGAGCCAUCCUUGAAAUACCACCCUGAAGUGCUUGACGUUCUAACCUAGGUCCGUAAUCCGGAUCGGGGACCGUGUAUGGUGGGUAGUUUGACUGGGGCGGUCUCCUCCCAAAGAGUAACGGAGGAGCACGAAGGUACGCUCAGCGCGGUCGGACAUCGCGCACUGUGUGCAAAGGCAUAAGCGUGCUUGACUGCGAGAUCGACGGAUCAAGCAGGUACGAAAGUAGGUCUUAGUGAUCCGGUGGUUCUGUAUGGAAGGGCCAUCGCUCAACGGAUAAAAGGUACUCCGGGGAUAACAGGCUGAUACCGCCCAAGAGUUCAUAUCGACGGCGGUGUUUGGCACCUCGAUGUCGGCUCAUCACAUCCUGGGGCUGUAGCCGGUCCCAAGGGUAUGGCUGUUCGCCAUUUAAAGUGGUACGCGAGCUGGGUUCAGAACGUCGUGAGACAGUUCGGUCCCUAUCUGUCGUGGGCGUUGGAGAUUUGAGGGGGGCUGCUCCUAGUACGAGAGGACCGGAGUGGACGUUCCGCUGGUGUUCGGGUUGUCAUGCCCAUGGCAUUGCCCGGUAGCUACGAACGGAAGUGAUAACCGCUGAAAGCAUCUAAGCGGGAAGCACGCCCCAAGAUGAGAUCUCCCGAGAGCUUGACUCUCCUAAAGGCACCAUCAAGACUAGGUGGUUGAUAGGCACGGUGUGGAAGUGCAGCAAUGCAUUGAGCUUACGUGUACUAAUGAGCCGUGAGGCUUGACCAA
This 1317-nucleotide ribosomal RNA is filed under the name metagenome. RNAcentral's name for it is "bacterial LSU rRNA". It matches the Rfam family "Bacterial large subunit ribosomal RNA", at positions 1629 to 2925 of the family's 2925-position model. The record is from RNAcentral.